This 510-nucleotide ribosomal RNA is filed under the name uncultured bacterium. RNAcentral's name for it is "bacterial SSU rRNA". It matches the Rfam family "Bacterial small subunit ribosomal RNA", at positions 36 to 518 of the family's 1533-position model. The record is from RNAcentral.
CUGGCGGCGUGCCUAAUACAUGCAAGUCGAACGGUCUUUCUAUGGAAGCUUGCUUCCACUGAGAAGAUAGUGGCGAACGGGUGAGUAACACGUGGGUAACCUGCCCAUAAGAGGGGGGAUAACAUCCGGAAACGGGUGCUAAUACCGCAUAGUUUUCUUGAUCGCAUGAUCGGGAAAGGAAAGACGGCCUUUGUGCUGUCGCUUAUGGAUGGACCCGCGGCGUAUUAGUUAGUUGGUGAGGUAACGGCUCACCAAGACGAUGAUACGUAGCCGACCUGAGAGGGUGAUCGGCCACAUUGGGACUGAGACACGGCCCAAACUCCUACGGGAGGCAGCAGUAGGGAAUCUUCCGCAAUGGACGAAAGUCUGACGGAGCAACGCCGCGUGAGUGAAGAAAGGUUUUCGGAUCGUAAAACUCUGUUGUCAGAGAAGAACAAGUUGGAGAGUAACUGCUCCAGCCUUGACGGUAUCUGACCAGAAAGCCACGGCUAACUACGUGCCAGCAGCCGC